AACCCACCAGAAGGAAGAAACUCUGGACACAUCUGAACAUCUGAAGGAACAAACUCUGGACACACCAUCUUUAAGAACUGUAACACUCACCGCGAGGGUACACGGCUUCAUUCUUGAAGUCAGCGAGACUAAGAACCCAACAAUUCCGGACACAGCAUGAUCUUGGUUCACUACAACCUGGAUCUCCCAGAGUCAAGCAAUCCUCUCGUCUCAGUCUCCCAAGUAGCUGGAACUACAGGUAUUUCUGGUCUUUAAAGACACUUGGAAAAGAC
This 272-nucleotide long non-coding RNA is filed under the name Homo sapiens (human). RNAcentral describes it as "non-protein coding LINC02569:13". The record is from RNAcentral. Lineage: Eukaryota; Metazoa; Chordata; Mammalia; Primates; Hominidae.